This 207-nucleotide ribosomal RNA is filed under the name uncultured bacterium. RNAcentral describes it as "partial 16S ribosomal RNA". It matches the Rfam family "Bacterial small subunit ribosomal RNA", at positions 568 to 774 of the family's 1533-position model. The record is from RNAcentral.
CGCGUAGGCGGCCAUGUAAGUUUGAUGUGAAAUACCUGGGCUUAACCUGGGAACUGCAUUGGAUACUGCAAGGCUAGAGUAUUGAAGGGGAUGAUGGAAUUAUGCAUGGAGAGGUGGAAUUCAUAGAUAUGCAUAGGAACACCGGAGGCGAAGGCGAUCAUCUGGGCAAUAACUGACGCUGAGGCGCGAAAGCGUGGGGAGCAAACA